GAUUAAGUUAUUAAGGGCGCACGGUGGAUGCCUUGGCACUAGAAGCCGAUGAAGGACGUUACUAACGACGAUAUGCUUUGGGGAGCUGUAAGUAAGCUUUGAUCCAGAGAUUUCCGAAUGGGGAAACCCAGCAUGAGUUAUGUCAUGUUAUCGAUAUGUGAAUACAUAGCAUAUCAGAAGGCACACCCGGAGAACUGAAACAUCUUAGUACCCGGAGGAAGAGAAAGAAAAUUCGAUUCCCUUAGUAGCGGCGAGCGAAACGGGAAGAGCCCAAACCAACAAGCUUGCUUGUUGGGGUUGUAGGACACUCUAUACGGAGUUACAAAGGACGACAUUAGACGAAUCAUCUGGAAAGAUGAAUCAAAGAAGGUAAUAAUCCUGUAGUCGAAAAUGUUGUCUCUCUUGAGUGGAUCCUGAGUACGACGGAGCACGUGAAAUUCCGUCGGAAUCUGGGAGGACCAUCUCCUAAGGCUAAAUACUCUCUAGUGACCGAUAGUGAACCAGUACCGUGAGGGAAAGGUGAAAAGCACCCCGGAAGGGGAGUGAAAUAGAACCUGAAACCGUGUGCUUACAAGUAGUCAGAGCCCGUUAAUGGGUGAUGGCGUGCCUUUUGUAGAAUGAACCGGCGAGUUACGAUUUGAUGCAAGGUUAAGCAGUAAAUGUGGAGCCGUAGCGAAAGCGAGUCUGAAUAGGGCGUUUAGUAUUUGGUCGUAGACCCGAAACCAGGUGAUCUACCCUUGGUCAGGUUGAAGUUCAGGUAACACUGAAUGGAGGACCGAACCGACUUACGUUGAAAAGUGAGCGGAUGAACUGAGGGUAGCGGAGAAAUUCCAAUCGAACCUGGAGAUAGCUGGUUCUCUCCGAAAUAGCUUUAGGGCUAGCCUCAAGUGAUGAUUAUUGGAGGUAGAGCACUGUUUGGACGAGGGGCCCCUCUCGGGUUACCGAAUUCAGACAAACUCCGAAUGCCAAUUAAUUUAACUUGGGAGUCAGAACAUGGGUGAUAAGGUCCGUGUUCGAAAGGGAAACAGCCCAGACCACCAGCUAAGGUCCCAAAAUAUAUGUUAAGUGGAAAAGGAUGUGGCGUUGCCCAGACAACUAGGAUGUUGGCUUAGAAGCAGCCAUCAUUUAAAGAGUGCGUAAUAGCUCACUAGUCGAGUGACACUGCGCCGAAAAUGUACCGGGGCUAAACAUAUUACCGAAGCUGUGGAUUGUCCUUUGGACAAUGGUAGGAGAGCGUUCU
This 1240-nucleotide ribosomal RNA is filed under the name Staphylococcus aureus. RNAcentral's name for it is "partial 23S ribosomal RNA". It matches the Rfam family "Bacterial large subunit ribosomal RNA", at positions 1 to 1242 of the family's 2925-position model. The record is from RNAcentral. Lineage: Bacteria; Bacillati; Bacillota; Bacilli; Caryophanales; Staphylococcaceae.